Hemiscyllium ocellatum (epaulette shark) is the source of this 781-nucleotide long non-coding RNA. RefSeq lists it as uncharacterized. The transcript has 4 exons. Lineage: Eukaryota; Metazoa; Chordata; Chondrichthyes; Orectolobiformes; Hemiscylliidae. The record is from RefSeq and is a predicted model, not a curated record.
AUGUGGCCCUCCCCCCGCGCUGCAAUUGAGGAGCAUUUACUCAGUGAGUACAAUAGGUUUGUUUGAAACAGACCGUAACGGAGAGAUCAGUGCCCAGGGAAGCGAAGGGACAACAGACUCCUUCCAGCAGCACAUCGAGAUGGGAGCCUGCGACACAGAAGGGGCUCCGUGACCGGGAUUGAUUCGGGGCAAAUAUUUGAUGGAUCAAUCCAAGUGUGACCAGCUGCUUCUCACACCCAGCAGACAAUUACUUGAAGGACCCAGACAGUGUAAUAUGUCCUCGGUACAAAGCCAAAUGUGAUCAGUUCCUUCUAACAAACAGCAGCAAUGCCAUCGUUUAAUCCGAUUUUUCAGAAUGCAAAAAGCAAAGCAUUUUCUGCUGUGGGUGAGAGGCUUUCAAAGGGAACAAAGAGAACGCCAAAACAGCGACCGGAUUGAAAUGUGAUGAUUUUGCUGAAUCUGAGAGCGAUAAGGGAAGACAGCUUUAAAAUAUCGUAUAAACACCGUUAAAAAUCACACAUCAGGUUAUAGCACACCAGCUUUCGGAUCGACGCUCCUUCAUCAGAUGGUAUAAACACCGUGUUCGUCAUCGAUACUGAGCCGGAAGAAUAUUGUGUUCUGCUUUAUCAGCAUGUCGGGUGCUAUUGAAAUGUGAAGCGAAGUAGUCAAGUGCAGACUGCAGUGUUUGGCCUGGUUCGUUUCAGCUUCUUAAGGUUUAGAAAAUUACCCACUCAAGAUCGGAAAUGGACAGAUACAGGUCGGCAAAUGAGGGAGAGACAGA